RNAcentral lists this unclassified non-coding RNA (201 nucleotides) under Hevea brasiliensis (rubber tree). Lineage: Eukaryota; Viridiplantae; Streptophyta; Magnoliopsida; Malpighiales; Euphorbiaceae. The record is from RNAcentral.
AGUUCAGCUAGAAUAGCAAAAAAAGCUAAGCCAAAAGCUGAACAGAAAACAAGUGAAUCAAAACAACUAGCUCAUAUUGGUCACAUCAAGAGCCAUCAGAUUUCAUCCUCAUUCCUAUUUGAUAUGUUUGUUAAAAUAUAUUAGAGAUAAGUCAUACAAGGUUUGGAUGAUACUAAUGUUCAACUGUAAGCCCUUACCUUU